CAGAGUUGCAAAACUCCCUUACCACCAUCGUGAACAGACCCCGAAACAGUUGCUUCGGCGGGAGGCAGUCCCCCCUUCACCGGGGGCGGCCGGCCGCGACGCCCGCCGGAGGUACCCAAACUCUUUGUUUUAUAGGCCUCUCUGAGUCUUUGUACUGAAUAAGUCA
Molecule: unclassified non-coding RNA, 166 nt
Filed under: soil metagenome
Description: partial internal transcribed spacer 1
Source: RNAcentral